UUACGACCAUAUCACGUUGGAACACCUUUUCUCGUAUGAUCACCGAAGUUAAACAACGUCAAGCCUGGUCAGUAGUGAGUUGGGUGAUCGCUUGGGAAUACCAGAUACUGGAA
This is a non-coding RNA of Acanthosepion pharaonis, 113 nucleotides long. The record is from the annotation of a GenBank genome assembly. NCBI's taxonomy places the organism in Eukaryota, Metazoa, Mollusca, Cephalopoda, Sepiida, Sepiidae.